AGGAAGUGGGGAUGACGUCAAGUCCUCAUGGCCUUUAUGCUUAGGGCUACACGCGUGCUACAAUGGGUGGUACAAAGGAGAAGCCAACUCGCGAGAGCGCGCCAAUCUCAAAAAGCCAUCCUCAGUUCGGAUUGGAGUCUGCAACUCGACUCCAUGAAGUUGGAAUCGCUAGUAAUCGCGGAUCAGAACGCCGCGGUGAAUACGUUCCCGGGCCUU
RNAcentral lists this ribosomal RNA (216 nucleotides) under uncultured Smithella sp. Its description in RNAcentral is "partial 16S ribosomal RNA". It matches the Rfam family "Bacterial small subunit ribosomal RNA", at positions 1168 to 1382 of the family's 1533-position model. The record is from RNAcentral. Lineage: Bacteria; Pseudomonadati; Thermodesulfobacteriota; Syntrophia; Syntrophales; Smithellaceae.